Molecule: ribosomal RNA, 439 nt
Filed under: uncultured bacterium
Lineage: Bacteria
Description: partial 16S ribosomal RNA
Rfam family: Bacterial small subunit ribosomal RNA
Source: RNAcentral
CUACGGGAUGCUGCAGUGGGGAAUAUUGCACAAUGGGGGAAACCCUGAUGCAGCAACGCCGCGUGGAGGAUGACACAUUUCGGUGCGUAAACUCCUUUUAUAUAAGAAGAUAAUGACGGUAUUAUAUGAAUAAGCACCGGCUAACUCCGUGCCAGCAGCCGCGGUAAUACGGAGGGUGCAAGCGUUAUUCGGAAUCACUGGGCGUAAAGGGUGCGUAGGCGGUUUGGAAAGUCAGGUGUGAAAGCCCGGGGCGCAACUCCGGAACUGCACUUGAAACUUCCAGACUAGAAUACUGAAGGGGCGGAUGGAAUUAGUGGUGUAGGGGUAAAAUCCGUAGAUAUCACUAGGAAUACCGAAAGCGAAAGCGAUCUGCUGGGAAGUUAUUGACGCUGAGGCACGAAAGCGUGGGGAGCAAACAGGAUUAGAUACCCCUGUAGUC